CGCUUAUCGCUGUUAGGCACACUUUACAUUUUCUGAUGGACAUGUACGGACGGCUGAUCAGCUGUUAAUGAUGAGGACAGCAUGUUGGAUUUGCUAAUGCCUGGAUGAUCAAGGACCUGAAUGCCAGCAUGACAAAAACACUCCGAGAGAAGAUUGCUGCCAAAAAGGAGCAGCAACGAGAAGAGGUGGAGCUGAAGAAAUUUGAACGAGAGAAGAAAAAACAAGAGCAGGAGGAACGUCAAAGAGAAAAGGAGAGGAAGGAGAAAGAACGACAGCAGGAAAAGCUCCGACGUCUCAGCAGUUCAGAGAGUAUUGGCCUUGAUGGUUUAACCAUAUCAGGGUCAGGCUCCAACUCCACCUCAAACCUUGGCAGUCCUGCUAAAGCUGCUCCGCCAAAAUUCACACAACCAGCCAUAACUCCCCGCAAAAAGAUCAGAACUGCAAAUGAACCUGUGUCUAGUCAACCGAUGUCUGCCACAUCCCACUCGCCCACGACCGAGUCCGAGAAUCCUGAGGACUGGAAACCGUUCCGUGAUGCUGAUGGUGCUCUCCGUGAAGCUUUAAGGAAAAUAGGCCAGGAGGACUGGGAGGUGAAGGUGGAAGCCAUUAACAUGUUACGCAGAUUGACUAUUCAUCAUCCUGAGACCCUCUCCAGCCAGCUACAUACAGUCAUACUGGCUAUCAUAGCAGAGGUGAAGAAUCUGAGGUCUCAGGUGUCAAGACUUGCUAUCACAUGUUUGGCUGAAAUGUUCUCCAAUCUGAAGAGGCAGAUGGACCAGGAUCUGGAUAAUACAACAAAAUGCCUGCUGGCCAAAUCUGGCGAGAGUAACAACUUCAUCCGCACAGAUGUUGACAGGGCUCUGAAAGCCAUGGUGGAGAAUGUUACAGCAACACGAGCUCUCCUGGCUAUCAUCAUGGGUGGAUCUUCUCACAAGAACAAUGCUGUUAGACGCACAACAGCUCAGUGCCUUGUGGUUCUUGUGGAGAAGAUGGGACCUGGGAAGAUCCUCAGUGGUGUCAAGGACAUCACAGACAGAGUUCUGCCGACAGCUGCUCAGUUUGCUUUGGACAGCUCUCAGGAAACAAGGUAUUAUGGCAAAAAGAUCCUGUAUCAACUCAUGUCUCACCAAGACUUUGACAAGAUGCUUACCAAGUACCUGCCUGCCAACACACUCCGCAGUGUGCAAGAUGUUGUGGACACUCUACGACAGAAGGGUUUGGGUGAAGUACCCCAUGUAACGUCUUCAGCAAGGUCGGGUCAAGGCAGCCGAUCCAGGUCAUCUGUUCGUGGCGGGUCAGCUAGCAGUUCUGCCGAAAGUGUGAACACCCCCCAGCCAAAACGAAAGUCAGUGCGCACUGAUGAGGCCACUUUGGACGACAUCCGGGAGAUGAUCAGCCAUCUGGGUUCCAAUGACUGGAAGACGAGGCUUGAUGGCAUCACACAGUUCCAACAGAUGGCAGAAUCAAACCCUAAUGCUGUGUCAGCACAGCAUGUAAAAAUAUUUGACAAGUUCCUGCCACGCCUGCAAGACUCCAACAGCAAGGUGAAUCUACAUGCGCUGCAAGUGAUGCUGCUAGUCAUCCCUAUACUCAAGGACUGCAUGCUCAGCGGCAUCCUCAACAUGGUCAUUGGCAACGUCGCUCCUAACCUUUCUUCCAAAAAUCGAGUUAUCUACACAACAACGACUGACAUCCUGGAGUGCUUUAUUGAACACAUGGAUUCAUCCUUGUUAAUCCAACCAUUCGCCAACCAGGCCCAGGCAGUCAGUGCUAGGAGCAAACCAGACAUGGUCCUCAAAGUUGCAUACCUUGUUGACAAAGUUUACUCUAAGAAGCAGAAACAGGUGAUCCUCCACGUUCUGCCUCUACUGUGGCAUCUCCUGGGCGCCCAGAACAGCAGUGGUGCCCUGCAUGGCGGCAGCAGUGACUUGCGCCACGCCGUGUCCUCCCUAGUGUCUGUCCUGUAUAAACACAUGGGCCAGAGUCUCGUGGAGAAAGCCAGCUCUGACCCCAACGUCAGCACACGCCAUCUCAAACUGCUGCAGGAACUUAUUGAUCAGUCAUAACGCCAACAUCAGCAUCAGACAUUACCAUGUAGUUUUGGAGGUCAUUGAUCAGUCAGGAUUCCUUGAGCACCAGACAAGUUUAUGUGUUGGGGCUGAUUGACCAGGAGGAUUAUGUACAUUGUCAGUUACAUCAUACCAAAGGAAAAUUGUUGUGUUGCACUGGAUACUCAGCUUACUAAUUGUGAGAACCUAUGGGAAAACAUGUUAUAUUUUCAGGUGAUCAUAUGUUAAUACCCGAAGUUGUUGACAAGAUAUAAUAUUAAAGGAGGACUGAAUGGAGGACUGAUGUU
RNAcentral lists this unclassified non-coding RNA (2356 nucleotides) under Haliotis rubra (blacklip abalone). Its description in RNAcentral is "tOG array regulator of axonemal microtubules protein 1-like, transcript variant X1". The record is from RNAcentral. Lineage: Eukaryota; Metazoa; Mollusca; Gastropoda; Lepetellida; Haliotidae.